This 73-nucleotide transfer RNA is filed under the name Loxodonta africana (African savanna elephant). It matches the Rfam family "tRNA". From Rfam's summary of the family: Transfer RNA (tRNA) molecules are approximately 80 nucleotides in length. The record is from Rfam by way of RNAcentral. Lineage: Eukaryota; Metazoa; Chordata; Mammalia; Proboscidea; Elephantidae.
GCCCUAGUGGUGCAAGAGGUUAAGCACUUGGCUGAUAACCAAAAAGUUGGUAGUUUGAACCCACCCAGUGGCU